CAGUCGCCGCGGGAAUACGGAGGGUGCAAGCGUUGUCCGGAUUUAUUGGGUUUAAAGGGUGCGUAGGCGGCUAUUUAAGUCAGCGGUGAAAGACUCCGGCUCAACCGGAGCAGUGCCAUUGAUACUGGAUAGCUUGAGUGUUGGAGGGGUACAUGGAAUUGAUGGUGUAGCGGUGAAAUGCAUAGAUACCAUCAGGAACACCGAUAGCGAAGGCAUUGUACUGGCCAACAACUGACGCUGAGGCACGAAAGCAUGGGGAGCGAACAGGAUUAGAUACCCCCGUAGUCCCUGUCUCUUAUAC
Molecule: ribosomal RNA, 301 nt
Filed under: uncultured bacterium
Lineage: Bacteria
Description: partial 16S ribosomal RNA
Rfam family: Bacterial small subunit ribosomal RNA
Source: RNAcentral